UGCAAGUCGAGGGGCAGCAUUAAAUUUAUUUAUAAUAAAUUUUGAUGGCGACCGGCGUACGGGUGCGUAACACGUACGUAACCUACCUUUUGCUAGAAAAUAGCCUGAGGAAACUUAGAUUAAUGUUCUAUAGUAUAACAGAAUCGCAUGAUUCUGUUAUUAAAGUAGCAAUACGGCAAAAGAUGGGCGUGCGUCCGAUUAGUUAGUUGGUAAGGUAAAGGCUUACCAAGACAGUGAUCCGUAGGGGGCUGAGAGGGUGAUCCCCCACACUGGUACUGAGACACGGACCAGACUCCUACGGGAGGCAGCAGUGAGGAAUAUUGGUCAAUGGAGGAAACUCUGAGCCAGCCACGCCGCGUGCAGGAAGAAUGCCCUUACGGGUUGUAAACUGCUUUUGUUUUAGGAAAUAGAAAUUCUUACGUGAUACGGAUUGUGAAUGUACUAUACGAAUUAAGUGUCCGGCAAACUCCGUGGCCAGCCGCCGCGGGUAAUACGGAGGGAUACGAGCGUUUAUCCGGGAUUUAUUGGGUUUAAAGGGGGGCGUAGGCGGGUUAAUUAAGUCAGUGGUCAAAUAUUGCAGCUUA
RNAcentral lists this ribosomal RNA (584 nucleotides) under uncultured bacterium. Its description in RNAcentral is "bacterial SSU rRNA". It matches the Rfam family "Bacterial small subunit ribosomal RNA", at positions 56 to 611 of the family's 1533-position model. The record is from RNAcentral.